UCUUGCGCAAUGGGCGAAAGCCUGACGCAGCCAUGCCGCGUGAAUGAUGAAGGUCAUAGGAUUGUAAAAUUCAAUCACCGGGUACGAUAAUGACGGUACACGGAGAAGAAGCCCCGGCGAACUUCGCGCCAGCAGCCGCGGUAACACGAAGGGGGCUAGCGUUGCUCGGAAUUACUGGGCGUAAAGGUCGCGUAGGCGGACAUUUAAGUAAGGGGUGAAGUCCCAGGGCUCAACUCUGGAACUGCCUUUGAUACUGGGUGUCUUGAGUGUGAGAGAGGUAUGUGGAACUCCGAGUGUAGAGGUGAAAUUCGUAGAUAUUCGGAAGAACACCAGUGGCGAAGGCGACAUACUGGCUCAUUACUGACGCUGAGGCGCGAAAGCGUGGGGAGCAAACA
Molecule: ribosomal RNA, 395 nt
Filed under: uncultured bacterium
Lineage: Bacteria
Description: partial 16S ribosomal RNA
Rfam family: Bacterial small subunit ribosomal RNA
Source: RNAcentral